This 122-nucleotide non-coding RNA is filed under the name Carlito syrichta (Philippine tarsier). RNAcentral's name for it is "U4atac minor spliceosomal RNA (ENSTSYG00000028836.1)". It matches the Rfam family "U4atac minor spliceosomal RNA". From Rfam's summary of the family: U4atac is an essential component of the minor U12-type spliceosome complex which is required for removal of the rarer class of eukaryotic introns (AT-AC, U12-type). These interacting stem loops have been shown to be required for in vivo splicing. Lineage: Eukaryota; Metazoa; Chordata; Mammalia; Primates; Tarsiidae. The record is from Rfam by way of RNAcentral.
ACCACCCUAUUCUUGGGGCUGUGCUUUCAAUGAACACAUAGUGAGUGCAGUACCACUAAUGACUAUACAACAUGACUACAUCAACUAAGGCUUUGCUUUACCUUGGUGCAAUUUUUGGAAAA